CCAAAUGCCCCUAUGCAGGCUGAUUAUCUUAAUAUUUGUAAGCAUAAAUAAUAGAAAAACAUUGAUCCUGUUGCAUAUUAAAAUAUCAGAUGCAAAACCCUCUAAGAAAUCCUCAGUCAACCUACGUUACUCAAAUAAUUUUGCUUCAAACCCCACUAAAUAACACACUCUGGGCUCUGAAAAUACAUGGAGGAUUCAGAUAAAAUUACUCGUUUAAGAAAAUUGUUCCAAUUAACAACAACAGCACCGACCACACUUACCUAAAAACAGCCGUUGAAGAAGAGACGAGAAGAAUCCUGGGCGGGAAUAUAGUUUUCGAAUCCAAAGUAUCCCGUGAACCUGACUCAAAUCAACCAAUCAGAUGACGCGAGAAGCUGUCGUGAUCAUGUAAAUCGCGCCAAAACAAUUAACCAGCCAAUGGAUGAACUGAUCCAGAUGCAAACUGGUUGAAAACUUGGUGGGAGGAGUCGGAGUUCUGCGCACGCGCAUAGACUGCACAUUUGAUUUAAUUGCCAACUGCCACCGAUUCGUCUGAGGUUGUGUCUGAACAUCCCCUUUAUCAGAGUGUUCUGGUGCACUUGCUUUGCAUGCCGUGCUUGUCCUGUACCACUGUAGGUCUUUUUUUUCUGUGAGACCCAGCUGAAGAUAUCAAGAGCUCAGAUGUUGGCCUACAGUUCAUUACACUGACUUCUUUGAUGUUCCCUGAAAGACUGACUACUACCAUUUCAUUAAGCUAAACCGAGAACCUGUGACAGUUUGUGGAGUUUGAAUUUAAAGUCACACAUGUCUAUCAAUAAAUUGGAUGUUUUGUCAUGAGCUGCUGUUUUCUAUUUGUCUUUCACAACAUCACUUUUACCUUUUCAAAGUCUUGCAGUUUGUGUUUACAUUGUGUUAGCAUAUUUUUUUACUGGCUCAAUGUUUGUUUUACAAAGUAAAACAUUUUUUUGCUAUUAAACAUAUUUUUGUGGGCGUAUUAUUCAUUGUUAUGUGUAUUUCACAAAUAUACUUAUAUAUUUGCUAUUUAUAUAUUUGCUCCAAAAUUAGAUUUAUUUUCAAGUGUUGGUUUAUUUUGAUUUAGGCCAUAAAACUAAAAAGUACAAUAAAAUGUGAAAACAUAAUAAAAACUUUUCUCUUUAUUUAAAUCGUUAACUCAUUUUGAAAUUAUUUUGAUUAUGAUAUUUCACUUCACUGAUACCUUAUUAACCUAUUCUGUAACUGAUACCUUAAAUAUAGCUCAGCACACUGCUAUACUGCAAGCUUGUUCCCUGCUGAAAAACAAUAGAACCUAAAAAAAUUCUUAAGGUUUCCAUUAAAAUACCAUCAUGAACCAAUAGCCUUUUCUAUUAAAACCACAAUCUAUGUAACCUACGAAAAUAAUUAGUUGUAUGACAAAGCAUUAAAUAGACAAAAAUAUGUGCAAGUGUUUUUUAAGGCCAGGUUACUUUAAAAAAGAAUCAGCCUGAAGUACUUUUAAUAGACAGAGUGCUGCUUUACUUGAUAUUUCAACAUUUUAGUAGAACAGGCUGAGCGGAGUUAACCAAAUCUGCCUGUAACCUGUUGCCAAAAUGUACAAGGUAAAACAUGUUUAAAUGUAACCGUGCAAUAAUUGUGAAUUACACAAUGUCAAA
Long non-coding RNA from Triplophysa dalaica, 1628 nucleotides. RefSeq lists it as uncharacterized. The record is from RefSeq and is a predicted model, not a curated record. NCBI's taxonomy places the organism in Eukaryota, Metazoa, Chordata, Actinopteri, Cypriniformes, Nemacheilidae. The transcript has 3 exons.